GACGUAACGCUCGGCGGGCGAGGCUUAACACAUGCAAGUCGAGCGCCCCGGCAAGGGGAGCGGCAGACGGGUGAGUAACGCGUGGGAAUCUACCUUUUGCUACGGAAUAACUCAGGGAAACUUGUGCUAAUACCGUAUGUGCCCUUCGGGGGAAAGAUUUAUCGGCAAAGGAUGAGCCCGCGUUGGAUUAGCUAGUUGGUGGGGUAAAGGCCUACCAAGGCGACGAUCCAUAGCUGGUCUGAGAGGAUGAUCAGCCACACUGGGACUGAGACACGGCCCAG
Molecule: ribosomal RNA, 281 nt
Filed under: uncultured bacterium
Lineage: Bacteria
Description: partial 16S ribosomal RNA
Rfam family: Bacterial small subunit ribosomal RNA
Source: RNAcentral